UUUAUGGAACUGAGGGAGUACAACAAAAUAAGUUGCUUGGGUUUAAGGACAACAAACUGAAUAUUCAGGUUAGCAAAACAGAGCACUGGCACUUGUUUUAGCAGCGUAAUGUGUGUACUGCAGUUGCAAGAUCAGACACUAAAAUCUUAUUCUAACCAGCUGCAAGUUUUAGCAACAGCAUCAGGUUGUAAGGUAAAAAUACAGCUCUAAGGUUGAUGUACAAUCAGCCUUAAACUGAAAUCAUAAACACCCAUCAACUUGUUUGAUCUUCGUUUUCCCUAUUUUUUAGCCUAGCUCGUUGUUCUUGCCCAUCAUACGAAACACUUGGUUCUUGAUUUCACAUCUUAUUGGCAGUUUAUCAACUCAUCAUUUGAUAACCCUAGUCCUCGUUGAUGCACUGAUUUGUUUUGUUUCAUAAUCUGUAGUAAUAAAUAUAUUAUAAAGGGAUGAUAAAUUGGUGAAAGUGUAGUUUUAUCUAUUGUAUACCAGCAAUUAUAUUGAGCAUCAGACCAUUACAAACCAUUAUAUCAAGUAAAAAAAUUAUUUUAAAGGUUUAAUAAUACUAUCAGCCAAAAAACAUGUAAUCAUGAAAUGCAGAUUAGCAAUAAGUGCUUGUCAUCAAAACAUCAGGAGAAGUAUACAAAAAGAAAGGAAAAACAAUUCCAUGCUUUUGAAAUUUGAAUAAAUAGGUUGAUUUUUCCAGUUCUUGUAAGUUCACAGCAAAGAACAAAUAUGUAUGUCAUCAAAGGGACCAUGACAUUACUACACCAUCUAGGAAAAGUCAUUAUUACCCGUCUUUACAAAUGUUAGAUUAACCCUCACUAUUUUAAGAGAAAACCUUCACUGCGUGAUCUCGAUUAUAUCAGUAUGAGUAUUGUUUUUUAUCCCGUACUUUGCAUAAUUUGUCCAACUAAAUGUUGCAUUUGUGUGACCUUGUAAGAUUAGCAGGAUAGUAAUUGAUAAUACUAUUUCACAAAAUAAGAGACAUAGUUAAGUUUACAGUCUAAAUAUUGAACAAUAAAAAGGCGAGACAACAAAAGAUACUGCUUUUACUUUAUAACCUGAAGCACCACAAAGGGAAACAUCACAAAAGUUUCUAGAAGUUAUACUUCUACAACAUCAUAACCUGAAGGCAAGUAUGUACCUGAGAUAAUCGAUUGAACGCAAAGAUCCAUUUUACUUGGAGCAUGCUGGAAAUCAGAUCAACAAAUAGAGAAUUAUAGAAGAAAAUUAAAAGCCACUAUCCACCAGAGAUUCAAAACUGAAGAAUUCCUCAAAUGUCGUAGUAAUAAACUGUCCAGCAGCCAUCGGAGAUUAAAGUAAAGAAAUCCCAAAUCAAUAUGCCAAAACCAGCCUCCAAGUUUUACCCAAAUUAGUUGACCAAAUCAGUAUGAACACCGCCUGCACAAAAUAUUGAUCGGGGGAUAUUAGAACAUGUAAUCAUUUGGUGGAAGGACUCGUACAUGAAAGAAACAAAUGUGGAUAGAGGGUAACCUUGCCAUGAACCAUGCUACUAGAGGUUCAGCUGCUGGAGUAGGAAGGUUGCAGAUUCUUGUACAGAGGAAAAUACAAAGUCACACUUGUAUUAAGCGUCGCCGGUGCGUGACACAUCAUGAAUGGAUCCAGAAACUGAAGAUUGGUUACCCAGCAGAUCGAAACUCCUGCAGGAACGUGGUACAACCAAAACCACAUCAAAUCGGGAUGACUUCAGGAGGGCCAUGCUACUCGCUGAAUAUUAAGUGCUCACACCUGAAACCGGAUCCAGAAACUGAAGAGUAAGCGCUCGCACCUUAAACCAGCAGAUCAGGUUCACCAUAGAACGAACAGAUGGGAACAUACAGAACGCAAGAUCGGGAAGGAAGAGAAGAAAUCAACAUCAAACUGAUAGAUGGGGAACAUGGAAUUAAGGUGGCUGGAAGGGUCAGAGGCACGAUAUCAUCCGGAUUAGGAGCAGGCAGAUCAAGACGAUGAGCUUCGUGAGGCG
RNAcentral lists this long non-coding RNA (1984 nucleotides) under Triticum aestivum (bread wheat). Its description in RNAcentral is "long non-coding RNA (TAES_LNC021168)". Lineage: Eukaryota; Viridiplantae; Streptophyta; Magnoliopsida; Poales; Poaceae. The record is from RNAcentral.